Molecule: unclassified non-coding RNA, 684 nt
Filed under: uncultured fungus
Lineage: Eukaryota; Fungi
Description: partial miscellaneous RNA
Rfam family: 5.8S ribosomal RNA (bases 250-403)
Source: RNAcentral
CUUGGUCAUUUAGAGGAAGUAAAAGUCGUAACAAGGUUUCCGUAGUGAACCUGCGGAAGGAUCAUUAUCGAAUUACCGAGGGUUGAUGCUGGCAGUCCUUGAUUGCAUGUGCUCGCUCUCUUUAAUCCACUCACACAUGUGCAUUAAUAUUUUUUUUCGAAGGCAGGGCAAAGCCUUGCCUUUGAAAGUUUAUAAAUUCUUAUUUCGUGUAAUGGAUGCUUACCUGUCAUAAGGGGGGAAAUUUAAUACAACUUUUAACAACGGAUCUCUUGGCUCUCGCAUCGAUGAAGAACGCAGCGAAAUGCGUUAAGUAAUGUGAAUUGCAGAAUUCAGUGAAUCAUCGAAUCUUUGAACGCACCUUGCACUCUCUGGUAUUCCGGAGAGUACGCCUGUUCGAGUGUCAUGAAACUCUCAAGCAAGGGUAGCUUUUUCUUGCUAUCUUUGCUUGGAUUUGGACUUUGCUGUGUCAAUGCGGCUAGUCUUAAAUGGAUUAGCUGGUCCUUAUGGGGAAGGGACUUUGGUUCUACUCAGCGUGAUAAUUAUCUGACGUUGAGGACAGUCUUUUAGGGGCUGGCAGAGCUUUCCUUUGGAUUGCUUCUAAUUGUCAUAAGACAUAUCAUUCAAUAUCUGACCUCGAAUCAGGUGGGAUUACCGCUGAACUUAAGCAUAUCAAUAAGCGGAGGA